UACGAAGGGGGCUAGCGUUGUUCGGAAUAACUGGGCGUAAAGCGCACGUAGGCGGACUUGUAAGUUGGGGGUGAAAGCCCAGGGCUCAACCCUGGAACUGCCUCCGAUACUGCAAGUCUCGAGUCCGGGAGAGGUGAGUGGAAUUCCUAGUGUAGAGGUGGAAUUCGUAGAUAUUAGGAAGAACACCAGUGGCGAAGGCGGCUCACUGGCCCGGUACUGACGCUGAGGUGCGAAAGCGUGGGGAGCAAACAGG
This 253-nucleotide ribosomal RNA is filed under the name uncultured bacterium. RNAcentral describes it as "partial 16S ribosomal RNA". It matches the Rfam family "Bacterial small subunit ribosomal RNA", at positions 524 to 776 of the family's 1533-position model. The record is from RNAcentral.